CCUACGGGAGACAGCAGUGAGGAAUAUUGGUCAAUGGCCGGAAGGCUGAACCAGCCAUGCCGCGUGAAGGUCAGUGCCCUAUGGGCGUUAAACUUCUUUUGUGCGGGAGCAAUAAUGGUCACGUGUGGCCAGACGAGAGUACCGUACGAAUAAGCAUCGGCUCACUCCGUGCCAGCAGCCGCGGUAAUACUGGGGAUGCAAGCGUUAUCCGGAUUUAUUGGGUUUAAAGGGUGCGUAGGCUGUGAGGUAAGUCAGCGGUGAAAUGCCCCCGCUCAACGGGGUGAAGUGCCAUUGAUACUGCCUGGCUGGAAGGCGGAUGCCGUGGGAGGAAUGUGUGGUGUAGCGGUGAAAUGCAUAGAUAUCACACAGAACACCGAUUGCGAAGGCAUCUCACGAAGCCGCGAUUGACGCUGAUGCACGAAAGCGUGGGUAUCAAACAGGAUUAGAUACCCUGGUAGUC
Molecule: ribosomal RNA, 460 nt
Filed under: uncultured bacterium
Lineage: Bacteria
Description: partial 16S ribosomal RNA
Rfam family: Bacterial small subunit ribosomal RNA
Source: RNAcentral